GUGGGGAAUAUUGCACAAUGGGCGAAAGCCUGAUGCAGCGACGCCGCGUGAAGGAGGAAGUAUUUCGGUAUGUAAACUUCUAUCAGCAGGGAAGAAAAUGACGGUACCUGACUAAGAAGCUCCGGCUAAAUACGUGCCAGCAGCCGCGGUAAUACGUAUGGAGCAAGCGUUAUCCGGAUUUACUGGGUGUAAAGGGAGCGCAGGCGGCACGGCAAGCCAGAUGUGAAAGCCCAGGGCUCAACCCUGGGACUGCAUUUGGAACUGUCGAGCUAGAGUGCAGGAGAGGCAGGCGGAAUUCCUAGUGUAGCGGUGAAAUGCGUAGAUAUUAGGAGGAACACCAGUGGCGAAGGCGGCUUACUGGACUGUAACUGACGUUGAGGCUCGAAAGCGUGGGGAGCAAACAGGA
This 406-nucleotide ribosomal RNA is filed under the name uncultured bacterium. Its description in RNAcentral is "bacterial SSU rRNA". It matches the Rfam family "Bacterial small subunit ribosomal RNA", at positions 354 to 777 of the family's 1533-position model. The record is from RNAcentral.